CCUCGGGCUGGCCCAGCCGGCCCAUCGCCUGGCGCGCGACGAACGCGGCCCUGGCGGUCGCCACGUCGCCUGUGGCC
RNAcentral lists this transfer RNA (77 nucleotides) under Caulobacter rhizosphaerae. RNAcentral's name for it is "tRNA-Ala". The record is from RNAcentral. Lineage: Bacteria; Pseudomonadati; Pseudomonadota; Alphaproteobacteria; Caulobacterales; Caulobacteraceae.